RNAcentral lists this ribosomal RNA (457 nucleotides) under Lachnospiraceae bacterium oral taxon 107. RNAcentral describes it as "bacterial SSU rRNA". It matches the Rfam family "Bacterial small subunit ribosomal RNA", at positions 28 to 465 of the family's 1533-position model. Lineage: Bacteria; Bacillati; Bacillota; Clostridia; Lachnospirales; Lachnospiraceae. The record is from RNAcentral.
GAUGAACGCUGGCGGCGUGCUUAACACAUGCAAGUCGAACGAAGCUGCCUGGAGGAAGUUUUCGGAUGGAAUUUAGGUAGACUUAGUGGCGGACGGGUGAGUAACGCGUGGAUAACCUGCCUUAUACAGGGGGAUAACGGAGAGAAAUUUCCGCUAAGACCGCAUAAGACCACAGCACCGCAUGGUGCAGGGGUAAAAUAUUUAUAGGUAUAAGAUGGAUCCGCGUCCGAUUAGCUAGUUGGUGAGGUAAAGGCCCACCAAGGCGACGAUCGGUAGCCGGCCUGAGAGGGUGAACGGCCACAUUGGGACUGAGACACGGCCCAAACUCCUACGGGAGGCAGCAGUGGGGAAUAUUGGACAAUGGGGGAAACCCUGAUCCAGCGACGCCGCGUGAGUGAAGAAGUAUUUCGGUAUGUAAAGCUCUAUCAGCAGGGAAGAAAAUGACGUACCUGACUAG